This 274-nucleotide ribosomal RNA is filed under the name uncultured bacterium. RNAcentral's name for it is "partial 16S ribosomal RNA". It matches the Rfam family "Bacterial small subunit ribosomal RNA", at positions 523 to 796 of the family's 1533-position model. The record is from RNAcentral.
AUACGGAGGGUGCGAGCGUUAAUCGGAAUUACUGGGCGUAAAGAGCGCGUAGGUGGCUUGGUAAGUCGGAUGUGAAAGCCCCGGGCUUAACCUGGGAAUGGCAUUCGAAACUGCCAGGCUAGAGUAUGGUAGAGGGAAGUGGAAUUCCGGGUGUAGCGGUGAAAUGCGUAGAUAUCCGGAGGAACACCAGUGGCGAAGGCGGCUUCCUGGACCAAUACUGACACUGAGGUGCGAAAGCGUGGGGAGCAAACAGGAUUAGAAACCCCGGUAGUCC